UUUUUAUACGCCCGUCUAUGACGGGACGUAUUAUGGUAUACCCCGCGUCCGUCCGUCCGUCCGUCUGUUAAUGUCGUACGCUACGUCAAAUAUCCUUUGACAGAUUUUCUUCAAAUUUUAACACAAUCUUAAUAUUGAUAAACCCUGAUCCCCUUUCGUUUUUGACGGAAUUCUGAAUUGUCGUUCCAGAGUUAUGGGACUUUGUUCGUCAAAAUUUCGUGAUUUCAUUGAAUGUCCUACUGUAGCUAUAUAAAAAUGUUAAAGUUGUUAUAACUUUGGUAUGCUUGGACCUAGAGUCUUGAAACUUGACAUGAAGGUUGGCCAGAACUAGUAAGUAACCACUGGACAUUUCAAGGUCAUUCAUUUGAAGGUCAAGGUCACUGUGACCUUGAAUGUAAAAAUGUUAAAGUUCUUAUUUCAUGUUAUAACUUUGGUAUGCUUGUACCUAGAGUCUUCAAACUUGAAAUAAAGAUUGGCCAGUACUAGAAGAUGACCACUGGUCAUUUCAAUGUCAUUCAUUUGAAGGUCAAGGUCACUGUGACCUUAAAUGUUAAAAUGUUAAAAUUGUUAUAACUUUGGUAUGCUUGGACAUAGAGUCUUCAAACUUGACAUGAAGGUUUGCAAGCACACUUAGAUGACCACUGGUCAUUUCAAGGUCAUUCAUUCUAAGGUCAAGGUCACUGUGACCUUAAAUGUUAUUGUUGUUCAUGUAUCCUACCGUAGCUCAAAUAUCCCCCGAUGGAUUUUUUAUACGCCCGUCUAUGACGGGACGUAUUAUGGUAUACCCCGCGUCCGUCUGUCCGUCCGUCCGUCCGUCCGUCCGUCUGUUAAUGUCGUACGCUACGUCAAAUAUCCUUUGACAGAUUUUCUUCAAAUUUUAACACAAUCUUAAUAUUGAUAAACCCUGAUCCCCUUUCGUUUUUGACGGAAUUCUGAAUUGUCGUUCCAGAGUUAUGGGACUUUGUUCGUCAAAAUUUCGUGAUUUCAUUGAAUGUCCUACUGUAGCUCAAAUAUCCCUUGAUGGAUUUUUUUCAAAUUUCAACACAAUCUUAAUAUUGAUAAACCCUGAUCCCCUUUCGUUUUUGACGGAAUUCUGAAUUGUCGUUCCAGAGUUAUGGGACUUUGUUCGUCAAAAUUUCGUGAUUUCCAUGCUCAUGUACUUAUAAAAUAAACCAUGUAUUCAAAUACAAAUAAACUGAAGUAAAAAAAUGA
This is a long non-coding RNA of Dreissena polymorpha, 1212 nucleotides long. RefSeq lists it as uncharacterized. The transcript has 2 exons. Lineage: Eukaryota; Metazoa; Mollusca; Bivalvia; Myida; Dreissenidae. The record is from RefSeq and is a predicted model, not a curated record.